CAUCAAUCCACACGUCCUGUGCUAGAGUCUUGCGAUUCUUAUUUCCCCUACCCUCCUGCAACGAUUAUUCCCAUAUAUCAAGGCCAUCUGACAGAGUUAACCAUCAGAAUUAAAUAGCAGUUCCCACAGAGUUCCAUCCCCUGGAGAGGUACCUAGCUGCCGGGGCAGGCCUGAAGCCUCGGUCAGGAGGCAUUGAGUCUUUCACUCUCCACGGAGGUCUUGGACUGAGAACUUCAAGUUCCAAAGGGAUGAGGUGUCGGCUUCGCCCUUAGGAGCCUGGAGGGCUCUGACCAAGGAGAAGGGCGGAGCCCAGCCACUGGAAGGUUUGUUUCUUGCAGUGGAAGACGGUUGGCGACCCGGAUGGCUUUUGUUACCAGGGCCAGCCCAAUCCGCCCGAUUCUCGGUCCCUAUACUGCCUCCUUUUCCCAUGCGCAUCGCAAGGGAUCGGUUGAUGGGGCCCUCAGUAUGACUUCGCUAGGAAAAAUAAAGCUCGUUUCUCAGAGCCGGCGGAUGUUCAUGGGCAGCACCAUCGAGCCAGAAGCAGUAUUUGUCCUGGUAAGUCAUUUCUCAACUGCCGAAGUGUACUAGGUUCCAGUCCCGCUGGUUUCUCGAAUCUGCUAGUCCCACACGAGCACCAAUAGGUAAACCCAGCCGGCAGUUUCCGGCUAGCACUUUCGCUAUUUGAAGACAUUAGGAAGUUAUGUGGUGGCUCCGUACCCUCCUUUCUCCAUCCGAGGCCGGGGUCCUAAAGUCGGUGUCACGGUGGCAGCACCCAGCGUUUUGUUGGCUCUUUCGCCAGCAGCGCCGAGCGGGGGGUUUUCUGUCACAGCACUUGUUGCACCGAAUUUCUCGGUCGCAGAACCUCUCUUUUCCGAGGGUCGACAUUUUCUGCGUGACAACACCGUUGGUUCCGCCAAAAUGGAUGUUGUCCUUGGGAACUCCUCCGGCUGGCGUCACUCUUAGGGUCCCAGCACCGCCAUUUCGCCAAGCCGAGUUCUCUUGGUCGCGGCACAUCUUGUUCCUCGGUGCCUCCAUUUUCUCGGUGGCGGCAGCGCUCUGGUAGCCGAUCUGAGGGAUUUGGAAUCGCAGCCAGUUGCGCAGAGUCUGGGGUUCCCGGGCGACGCCGGCGCUGGGCGGGGGAGCCCGCCGCUCCUCCGAGCCAGAGGCAGAGGAGCUGCGCGGACGCCGUCUCUUCACAGCGCCGCGAGCGCCGACGCACGGGUUCCUGCUCGGCCUCCUGAACCCAGUCCCCCGGCGGCGCCGCUGGCGUCUCUAUCGCAGGCCCCUGCGGUUUCGCCCGUCGUUGGCUUCUUGGUCCUAGCAAGUUUCGAUUUCGCGGUGCCCGCUAUUUCUACCUCUUGUCCAAAUAACUAGCCAAAAUGUGAUUUCUCAGCCUAAGCAAGUCCCGAUUUAGGGCAUCGGUCUAGCCCUGGCUGCGAUUUCUUGGUCCUAGGAAGUCACUGUUUAGCUGUAGCAAGGCAGACUUAACCGUGCGAUGGUGACUUUUCUUUUUCUUUGGUUCUUUUUCUUUUCUCUUUCUUUCUUGAUACGGGGUCCGGCUCUGUCGCCCAGGCUGGAGUGC
This 1582-nucleotide long non-coding RNA is filed under the name Homo sapiens (human). RNAcentral's name for it is "non-protein coding lnc-ANXA2R-1:2". The record is from RNAcentral. Lineage: Eukaryota; Metazoa; Chordata; Mammalia; Primates; Hominidae.